UAUAUGGUGAUAUGUAUUUUCUCUUCAUUUUUAACUAUUGAGUUUUUAUAAUUUAUAAUAUGUUACUAACUUUUAUUUGUAGUAAGAAUGGCUCUUAAGCGCCGAACUAAGAGAAAAUCACCAAGUAUAAGUAAAAAUCACACUGAUCAUGAACAAGAUGGUCAAAACAUAGAAGGUACCUUGAAUGACCAAAGAGAUGUAGUUUCAAAUCAACUACAUGUUGAUGUGCAAGGUAAUGUCCCACUUGUUAAAAAGUAGAGGCUAUUGUUGCAUAACAUCCAUAGUGAGGAUAUCCUGCUGUACUAUUGUUGUUAUUGCUAUGUUUGGUAUACCAUCCUUCAUAUUUAU
This is a long non-coding RNA of Zingiber officinale, 348 nucleotides long. RefSeq lists it as uncharacterized. Lineage: Eukaryota; Viridiplantae; Streptophyta; Magnoliopsida; Zingiberales; Zingiberaceae. The record is from RefSeq and is a predicted model, not a curated record. The transcript has 2 exons.